Non-coding RNA from Aedes albopictus (Asian tiger mosquito), 118 nucleotides. The record is from Rfam. NCBI's taxonomy places the organism in Eukaryota, Metazoa, Arthropoda, Insecta, Diptera, Culicidae.
UGCCCAGCAACUCCUAUCCCUACUUCUGCGUGGUACCUGCUGGAAUCUACGAGCAACUUUAUGGAAGAUCGGGUAAUCAAUCCCAGUAAGAACUUUGGUCGUAGGCUGACAUGGAAGG